RNAcentral lists this ribosomal RNA (263 nucleotides) under uncultured archaeon. RNAcentral's name for it is "partial 16S ribosomal RNA". It matches the Rfam family "Archaeal small subunit ribosomal RNA", at positions 717 to 982 of the family's 1478-position model. The record is from RNAcentral.
ACACGACUACAUUAGACUACCCCGGUAGUCCCAGCCCUAAACGAUGCGCGUUAGGUGUAUCGGUGACCACGAGUCACCGAGGUGCCGAGGGAAACCGUGAAACGUGCCGCCUGGGAAGUACGGUCGCAAGGCUGAACUUAAGGAAUUGGCGGGGAGCGACCACAAGAGGUGGAGGCUGCGGUUCAAUUGGACUCAACGCCGGAAAACUCAUCGGGAGCGACAGCAGUAUGAUCGCCAGGUUGAUGACCUUGCUUGACAAGCUG